ACUGGGCCGAUGAGUAGGCAAGAAAGCACUUUGUCACUCUCUGGAGGAGAAGAACUGAGAGCUGCCCUUGGAAAGGAGCCUGCACAGCAACCUGGGUCACUGAACAUGCCACAUGCCGAAGGAAUUACCACUGUUCAGUCUGGAUACCCAUGUGUUGGGUGCACUGCAAAGAAGAGGAGGGAUAAUGACAGUGGCCAGUGUUUCUCCCACAGGUAAACAGAUUCAAAUUAAUGUUCAAGUUUCUGGCCUAUUCUUGGGCCACUUGGAAGCAAAUGGCAGCAGCUUCUGUCUCCCUGUACUCCUUUGAUUGUGGGCUGCCUGGAGGAGCAGGGAGCUCACUUUUGGGGAUCACAUUAAUCUGAGAGUAAUUCUUCAGAGAAAGGGUAGCACUCACCAGUCAGCAGGCAGCACUCAGUAGCUGAGGAAGGGCACACAGUCUCAUAAAGGGGAUUGGGUGGGACCCCCAACCACGUUCACUCUGGAGAGACUCAACUGCCAUGCUGAGGAGUUUGGGAUUUCCUCACUGACACUGGUAGACUAUUAAUCCCCUCAGGAGGGUAUUUCCAGGUCACGAAACUAUUCUGGGGUGAAAAAUAUGGAGUGUUAGGAAGAAUGGAUUAGAAGAAUGUGUGACUAAAAGGACAAAGACCCUUUUGUAGACAAUGAUGAUAAAAUAUCUCAUAUUUAUUGAUCAUCAAUGCAUUAUGUGGAUUAUCUCAGUUCUCAAAAUAUUCUCCUAAAUCUUAUUUUAUUACUGGUGGGGAAAAUGAGGUUCUGAAAGUUUAAGUCAUUUGCUCAAGUCCCAAGGCUGAUAAGUGAUGGAGCCAGCAUAAUCACUGCUUUCCAUGGCUAGGCAGUAGGAAGAACUCAGUACUUUUAUGUGAGGAUGGAGAUCAUGUGUAUUAGUUUCCUAUGGUUACUAUAACAGACUAUUACAAACUUGGUGUCCUAAAACAGAAGUUUAUUCUCUGAGAGUUUCAGAGACCAGCAAUCAGUAUAACUUGGCUGAAGUCAACAGGUGGCCAUUUUUCAGCCUACCACAUUAUAGAACAACAUGUUUUUGAAGUCAUGCAAUUAGGAGAAUAGUGGCAUUAAUGGGGGAAAAAAAAAAAGGACAAGCACAUGAUUGGAUUAGAGACAGAAAUGGAGGAGUCUGAUUUGGGGUGACCUGAGUCUGGAGUGUUGGCAGAACAUCCAAGUGGACAAAUCCAGAAGAUAGUUGGAAGACUGUGAGCGGUGCUAGGAGAGCAGAGAUGUAGAUUUAGCAGCACUAUGAGUAGGAAGGGAUGGGCAAGGCUGAGAAAGUCCCCAUUACCACCCAGAACACUGCCUGACAUUGGAAGGCUGGCCUCUCCUCAAUGUGCAGCAUGCCUGAUGUUCUUGCUUUCUUCUCGUCAACUUGCAGGAUAGCACUUACUCAGAUCUACACUCCAAGUGUAAGAGUUCCUAUAACCUCUGCCAAUCUCUUCUUUCGUUUGAUUCACAACUUCUGCUUGACACAACACAUGGAUAGACCUAUGGCCUCUCUUUCUUUCAGACCCCCAUCUAAUUCAGUCUUGUCCCUUUUCCCUUUCUCUGUGUAUCCACCUCUGUCAUGUCCAGUCCUUACUUGUCUUUUCUAUUCUUCUUUGCAUAAUGACUACCAAAAUAUGAGCUUUAUAUUCCUUACCUGGUUGCUUUGUAGGGAACACUGUCUUAUAACUUAUACCAUAGAGUUCUUCUCCCAUUUCCUCUAUCAGAACUAGAACAUAGGUUAAUCUGCUUCUUGCUCCUUGUUGUUCUUUCAAACCACUGAAAUACAGCUAUCACCCCAAAACUCCAUUUGAGACCUAUAAGGACUAUUAAUAGCCUUAUCAUUCUUCAUUUCUAAAACUCUCUUCUGCUGUGUGUAUCUUUCCAGGAUCUGGCUCCAGCUUCUUUUAGGACUUUCACAGAGAAAUUCCAUUUGUCUGUUACAUCCCAAGGACAUUCCUUUUCAACUUCACUGCUUUACUUUAUUCCUUUCAGAGCUUUUAUCCUGUUACCUCUCCACUCUCCCUUCAUAACAGUACAGAUUCCAGACUUUCAAGUGCUUCAUCUUGCCUGUUAAAAACCUCUGAUUGUACUUGGAUCUCUAUUCAGCUAGAACAUCAUGAUAUGAAUUACAUUCCUUCAAUUGUCCAGGUUCUGUGCUCAGUACUAUGGGAUCUGAGAUGAAUCUGACACUGUCCGUGUGUUUAGUAAGUUCACAGCCAAGUAGACAGGAUAAGUACACAAGUAACUAUCAUACAUGUAGGGUAUGUUGAGUAUGAAAAGAGAGGGAUAAGUUGUGAGAAAUUCCAGAGGAUAAAGAAAUUAAUGAAGGAAAGAUCAACUGGUAAGGUAGCUUUUGAGUUAGGUAGGACAGAAUGAGAAGGAAAAAUAUAUUCCAAACUAAGAAAGUAUUGAAAGGAAAGGCAAGGGAUAUGCAGGACAAACGUAGUUUAGUUUUGCUGGAAUCCAUGUCUCUUAAUCUGCUCAGGCUGCCAUAACAAAUUACCACAGAAGAGAUGUCUUACAACAGAAGUUUAUUUUCUCCCAGCUCUGGAGGCUGGGGAGUCCAAGAUCAAUGUGCCAACAGAUCCAGUCAGGGCCUUCCUCCCAGCUUUCCAAGGACUGCCUUCUUGCUAUGCCUUCACAUGGCAGAGAGUGAGGGCUCUCUCUCUUCCUCUUUUUAUAAAGUCACUAAUUCCAUCACUAAUUCCAGCCUUAAGGUCUUCAUCUAACCUGAAUUUCCUCCCAAAGGUUUCAUAUCCAAAUACUAUUGCAUUGGUAGUUAGGGCUUCAAGACACAAAUUUGGGGGGAAGGGGGACACAAUUCAGUCCCUUGCACCAUGGUACAAAAUAAAGGAAAUAAACUGGAGACGUAGGAAGGCUAGAUUGGGGUUGAAUUGCAGAAUGUAUUAAAGCUAAGGAAUUUUUAUUUUUCUUGAUAAGAAAUGUGGAAUGUUUAAGGCUUUUUAAUUUAGUAAGCACUUAUCAUGAGCCACUAUGUUUAAGGCAUUUCUCCUAGUAUGAGUGGUGGCAGCUCUAUGAUUUUAACUUUAAUGAGAUCAAUUUUAGUGAAAAGGCAAGAUAAAAUAUAUGAAUAGUUAAUAUGUGAGCAUAUAUUAUUAAUGAUAGAGUUAUUAAUGAAGUAUAGUUUUAGCCUAGGGAAGUCAACAGUGCUGAAAAAGUCAGGAUCUUUUUCAGAGCCGUAUUUGGGACAUUAAUGUGGCAACAUGGUGAGGAAAAUUUGGAAGUGUGAAAGAAUGGAGGCAGAGAGAUAACUUUGGCAUUUAUCAAGCAGUAAUCUAGGUAAGACAUCAUCAAGACCUGAACUAGAGGGGUAGCUCUUAGAAAUGGCUGUGAGAGACACUGAAGAGACACAACUCAUAUGAUUUGGCAACUACCUCAAAGAUGGGAGAAAGGUGAUGGAAUUUCCAAGAUUAUCUUGAGGGUUUUUUCCCUCUGGCUGCCUAGUUCAAGAAUAGUGUCACUAAUGGAAAUGAGAAGGUUGAAAACUUGUAUUUAGGUACAAAUCAAGUUGGGAUUUGAACUUGAGUUUAUAGUGACACAGGAUGUCUAGAAAGGGGUGUUGAAAUGUGGCACUGGAGCUUAGGAUGGUGAUAAAGACUAGGGAUGCAGAGUUUGGAAAUACCUGGAAAGGGUUGCUUAAGCCUUGGGAAAAGAUGUGAUCAUGAAGCAAGAGUAGGAUCCAAGGGCAGAGUUUGGGAAACACCUACAUUUAUUGACCUGGAAGAGAAGCCAGAAAGAAAUUAGAUAAAAGGCAGCAGGGGAAAUAAGAGUAGAAUCUAGACAGGAUGUCACAGAGAGAGGAAUUUUUAUAUGGAGAGUGAUCAAAAGAGAAAGAUGGAGAUCAAAGAAUUUGAGGAAGAAGCAUAGGAAGCUUCCUCUGGUUACUUUGAAGGUUACCUUCCAAACAAUAGUUCCAGCAAUCUUGGAUAGAGUUGCAUUCUGAGGUGUUUCUAAGAGGCAAAACCUGGAGGAAUAACAGAAGACUUAUCUUCAACAUUUUGAUAGCAAAAAGGGAAGGGUGAGGAAAAGAUCAAAGCUUAGUUUAUUUGCGAAUAAUAAUAACAAACAAUUGGGUACUUAGAACGCAGCAGACUUUUCUUAAGUUUUUUUUUUUUUGGUAUGAUUUUACUCAUUUCAGUCUCAUAAUUCUCUGAGGUAGUUUAUUUAUGUUACCUCCAUAUGACUGAGGAUCAAGGGCACUCAAGUAACUUGCCCAAGAUAACAUAGCUAGUGACUAACUGACAGAGCUCGGAUUCAAGUUCAUGUAAGACUGACUCAAAAAUUCUGGGUCAGGAGAAAGAAUUCUGCUUCUGUGCAAACUGUCCAGUAUGUCUGUAGAUUUAAAGAAAGAGAAAGAAAAGGAUUGCAAAAGAUGAAGCAGAGAGGAUGGUUCCAGACAGAGGUGGUCAGCCACUUCCGUGCUCUUUCUAACAACACAGACUCCAGAUGUCCCUGCUGCCUUGACCCCCACAUUUCUGCCACGCCAUCUGGUAUCACUCCGACUUUGGUUUUCAAUUCCCACGUGCCUUUUAUUUUUUUUUGAAUAUGCAAAUCAUGCAGAUUCCAUCUACUGCAUAUUUAGUAAUUAGUUAUUCCUGUCUAUUUCCUAGAAAUCUUUCUUGUGGUUUACCUCAUCAAUUCUCACAAUAGCCACUGAAAAACUUUAUUUUCCAGAAAGCAACAAAUUGACACUUUCUACCUCAUCAAAAAAAUACCACACCCCAGAUCAACUUUCCUAGAGAAUGAUAUCAGCACUCUCUUUGGAGACCUGAAAUGUUUCCCACUCCCUAUGAGAUUUCUGUACAAAUUCCUCAGCAUGUUACACAAAGCCCUCUUAAGUUUGAUCUAUAUCUUUUUAUUCCUUUUAUUUACUGCUCCCUAUAUAAACCGUCCAGAAUACUCAUUAUUUCUGGAGUCUGGCUGUCUUUUUAUUCUUUGAGUCUUUGAUCUUGCCAUUCCCUUGGUUUUGGAUGCCCACUCUGUCAUUUCAUUCAUUGAAAUGCUCAUGACCCUUACACUCCAAAGUCAAAUGUAUCCUCUUUGAGAAGCUUGAUUAUCCCAGUAGUGCAACUACCGCUUUCUCUUCUGAGCUCAAAAUCAAACAGGUGAAACACAGAUCUUACUGCCAUAGACUUACAGAGCCUUGCCUGUUACACUUACUUGGAAUAAUAAACCUGCUUCAAAGGGCUACAGAGAAAAGGACAGGGGGUAACUUAUCCAAAUGCCCUCAUCAUUUUUACAUUCCAAAGCAUUUUGAGAGUAAAUAGUGGGCCUAAUUUAUUCUUCAUUUCCCAGUAGAGUUGACCACAGUGACUUGUCCUUAGUCUACUCAGUAAUAAUGUGUUGAAUGAAAGAAUGAAUGGGUGAAUGAAUGAUGCUUUUAGAUGUAGAGUCACAAUGAUGAAAAUAAUAUAAUCAAUAGAUUCUUGAGGUUGAGGGAAUUCUCCCCACCAACCACCCAAAUUAUAUCAAUAUUACAUUUUCUACUGUAAUACAUGUUAAGAUUUUCUAUGAAUUCUGACAACUGCUUGUAGAUAAAAAUGAUCAAGUUAUAUCAGCAUUUCUAUGCUGAUAUAAGACACAAGUCAUUUGACUCAUGAUACUAUAAUAAGAAAAAAAAGAGUUCCUGCUGUCACUCAGCUGUAACCAACCCAACUAGUAACCAUGAGGAUGCAGGUUUGAUUCCUGGCCUCACUUAAUGGGUUAAGGAUCCAGCAUUGCUGUGAGCUGUGUUGUAGGUUUCAGACAUGGCUCAGAUCCUGCAUUGCUGUGGCUGUGGUAUAGGCUGGCAGCUACAGCUCUGACUCAACCCCCAGCCUGGGAACCUCCAUAUGUGGUGGAGGCAGCCCUAAAAAGACAAAAAAAAAAAAAAAAAAAAAAAAAAAAAA
Molecule: long non-coding RNA, 5924 nt
Filed under: Sus scrofa (pig)
Lineage: Eukaryota; Metazoa; Chordata; Mammalia; Artiodactyla; Suidae
Description: lncRNA (ENSSSCG00025018833.1)
Source: RNAcentral